AACGUUAAAUUCGCUCCUGCUUACGCUAAAGCUGCGUAAGUUCAGUUGAGCCUGAAAUUUAAGUCAUACUAUCUAGCUUAAUUUUCGGUCAUUUUUGAUAGUGUAGAUUGAAAAUUGACAACUUUUAAUCGAAGUUAAAGUCUUAGUCUAGCUUGAAAUUUUGGAAGGUGAGUUUAGCUAGAUGAAGUUUUCACCUUUGCUAAACAUGUAGAAGUCUUUGUGGGGUUAUUUUUGGACAGGGGUUCAAUUCCCCUCGCUUCCACCA
Molecule: transfer-messenger RNA, 265 nt
Filed under: Campylobacter coli
Lineage: Bacteria; Pseudomonadati; Campylobacterota; Epsilonproteobacteria; Campylobacterales; Campylobacteraceae
Description: partial transfer-messenger RNA
Rfam family: transfer-messenger RNA
About the family: Bacterial tmRNA, also known as 10Sa RNA or SsrA, is named for its dual tRNA and mRNA-like properties. Its role is to liberate the mRNA from a stalled ribosome.
Source: RNAcentral